This is a non-coding RNA of Caenorhabditis elegans, 166 nucleotides long. NCBI's taxonomy places the organism in Eukaryota, Metazoa, Nematoda, Chromadorea, Rhabditida, Rhabditidae. The record is from Ensembl.
AGAAGAAGACAAUGCCCGACCUUGUGGUCAAAUGGCUACCAUAACGUCCUUUGUGUCUCGCCGGCGGCACCUCCCUCACUAUUUUUAGUGAAGAGAGGCUUCGAGUGGUGAUGGUGGUGGGGGCAAGAGUAGGAACCCGUUUACUUGUCCAUUUUUUUCAGCGUGA